GCCCAGGGGUUCCCAUUCGGUGAUCAGGACUGAGCAGAGACAGCUCACUAUGAAGUUUGGCCUGAGCUGGGUUUUUCUGUUUGCAAGUUUGAAAGGUGUCCAGGCUGAGGUGCAGCUGGUGGAGUCUGGGGGAGGCUUGGUGCAGCCUUCAGGGUCCCUGAAACUCUCCUGUGUGGCCUCAGGAUUCACCUUCAGUAGCUAUGGCAUGCACUGGAUUCGCCAGGCUCCAGGGAAGGGGCUGGAGUGGAUCUCAGCCAUCAGUAGUGCUGGUAGUAACACAUACUACUCAGACUCUGUGAAGGGCCGAUUCACCAUCUCUAGAAACAAUGGCAAGAACACACUGUAUCUGCAAAUGAACAACCUGCAAACUGAGGACACAGCCCUGUAUUAUUGUGCAAGAGACACACUGAGGGGACAUCAAUGUGAGCUCAGACAAAAACCUCUCUGCAGGGGCCCAUGAGCCCACCAGGGAUUGCCGUGACCCUUAGAGGACCAGGCAGGGCCUCAGGUGCAGGUGCAGAGAAGGAAGCA
Molecule: non-coding RNA, 531 nt
Organism: Heterocephalus glaber (naked mole-rat)
Lineage: Eukaryota; Metazoa; Chordata; Mammalia; Rodentia; Bathyergidae
Source: the annotation of a RefSeq genome assembly